This 271-nucleotide ribosomal RNA is filed under the name uncultured bacterium. RNAcentral describes it as "partial 16S ribosomal RNA". It matches the Rfam family "Bacterial small subunit ribosomal RNA", at positions 524 to 794 of the family's 1533-position model. The record is from RNAcentral.
UACGAAGGGGACUAGCGUUGUUCGGAAUCACUGGGCGUAAAGCGCACGUAGGCGGAUCAUUUAGUCAGGGGUGAAAUCCCGGGGCUCAACCUCGGAACUGCCUUUGAUACUGAUGGUCUCGAGUCCGAUAGAGGUGGGUAGAAUUCCUAGUGUAGAGGUGAAAUUCGUAGAUAUUAGGAAGAAUACCGGUGGCGAAGGCGGCCCACUGGAUCGGUACUGACGCUGAGGUGCGAAAGCGUGGGGAGCAAGCAGGAUUAGAUACCCUAGUAGU